GACGAACGCUGGCGGCGUGCUUAACACAUGCAAGUCGAACGAUGAAGCGCUUUCGGGUGUGGAUUAGUGGCGAACGGGUGAGUAACACGUGGGUAAUCUGCCCUGUACUCUGGGAUAAGCCCGGGAAACUGGGUCUAAUACCGGAUAUGACUGCCAAUCGCAUGGUUGGUGGUGGAAAGUUCUGGCGGUAUGGGAUGAACCCGCGGCCUAUCAGCUUGUUGGUGGGGUGAUGGCCUACCAAGGCGACGACGGGUAGCCGGCCUGAGAGGGCGACCGGUCACACUGGGACUGAGACACGGCCCAGACUCCUACGGGAGGCAGCAGUGGGGAAUAUUGCGCAAUGGGCGAAAGCCUGACGCAGCGACGCCGCGUGAGGGAUGACGGCCUUCGGGUUGUAAACCUCUUUCGCAUGGGACGAAGCCUUUGGGUGACGGUACCGUGAGAAGAAGCACCGGCUAACUACGUGCCAGCAGCCGCCGUAACAC
RNAcentral lists this ribosomal RNA (485 nucleotides) under uncultured bacterium. Its description in RNAcentral is "bacterial SSU rRNA". It matches the Rfam family "Bacterial small subunit ribosomal RNA", at positions 28 to 526 of the family's 1533-position model. The record is from RNAcentral.